RNAcentral lists this ribosomal RNA (524 nucleotides) under uncultured bacterium. RNAcentral describes it as "bacterial SSU rRNA". It matches the Rfam family "Bacterial small subunit ribosomal RNA", at positions 355 to 896 of the family's 1533-position model. The record is from RNAcentral.
UGGGGAAUAUUGGACAAUGGACCGAGAGUCUGAUCCAGCAAUUCUGUGUGCACGAUGACGUUUUUCGGAAUGUAAAGUGCUUUCAGUUGGGAAGAAAAAAAUGACGGUACCAACAGAAGAAGUGACGGCUAAAUACGUGCCAGCAGCCGCGGUAAUACGUAUGUCACGAGCGUUAUCCGGAUUUAUUGGGCGUAAAGCGCGUCUAGGUGGUUAUAUAAGUCUGAUGUGAAAAUGCAGGGCUCAACUCUGUAUUGCGUUGGAAACUGUGUAACUAGAGUACUGGAGAGGUAAGCGGAACUACAAGUGUAGAGGUGAAAUUCGUAGAUAUUUGUAGGAAUGCCGAUGGGGAAGCCAGCUUACUGGACAGAUACUGACGCUGAAGCGCGAAAGCGUGGGUAGCAAACAGGAUUAGAUACCCUGGUAGUCCACGCUGUAAACGAUGAUUACUAGGUGUUGGGGGUCGAACCUCAGCGCCCAAGCAAACGCGAUAAGUAAUCCGCCUGGGGAGUACGUACGCAAGUAUG